GAUGAACGCUGGCGGCGUGCCUAAUACAUGCAAGUCGAGCGAACGGACGAGAAGCUUGCUUCUCUGAUGUUAGCGGCGGACGGGUGAGUAACACGUGGAUAACCUACCUAUAAGACUGGGAUAACUUCGGGAAACCGUAGCUAAUACCGGAUAAUAUUUUGAACCGCAUGGUUCAAAAGUGAAAGACGGUCUUGCUGUCACUUAUAGAUGGAUCCGCGCUGCAUUAGCUAGUUGGUACGGUAACGGCUUACCAAGGCAACGAUGCAUAGCCGAACUGAGAGGGGGAUCGGCCACAUGGGAACUGAGACACGGUCCAGACUCCUACGGGAGGCAGCAGUAGGGAAUCGGCCGCAAUGGGCGAAGGCCUGACGGAGCAACGCCGCGUGAGUGAUGAAGGUCUUCGGAUCGUAAAACUCUGUUAUUAGGGAAGAACAGAUGUGUAAGGAACUGUGCACAUCUUGACGGUACCUAAUCAGAAAGCCACGGCUAACUACGUG
Molecule: ribosomal RNA, 497 nt
Filed under: uncultured bacterium
Lineage: Bacteria
Description: partial 16S ribosomal RNA
Rfam family: Bacterial small subunit ribosomal RNA
Source: RNAcentral